GACGAACGCUGGCGGCGUGCUUAACACAUGCAAGUCGAACGGAAAGGGCCUGCUCUUGUGGGGUGCUCGAGUGGCGAACGGGUGAGUAACACGUGAGUAACCUGCCCCUGACUUUGGGAUAACUUCAGGAAACUGGGGCUAAUACCCGGUAUGAGCACCUGCUGCAUGGUGGGGGUUGGAAAGAUUCGGCGGUUGGGGAUGGACGCGAGGCUCAUCAGCUUGUUGGUGAGGUAGUGGAGUACAAAGGCUUUGACGCGUAGCCGGCCUGGGAGGGUGACAGGCCACAUUGGGACAGAGGAAGGAGCCGGAGUGCUACGGGAGGCAGAGGUGGGAGAUUGUGCGAGAUGGGCGGAAGCAUGGUACAGGGACGCCGGGUGGGAGAUGACUGUCUGCGGGUAGUAACCCGCGUUAGCGUGUAAAGAAGCGUGAGUGACGGUAAUGGGUCAGGAAGCAACGGCUAACUACGUG
This 468-nucleotide ribosomal RNA is filed under the name uncultured bacterium. Its description in RNAcentral is "partial 16S ribosomal RNA". It matches the Rfam family "Bacterial small subunit ribosomal RNA", at positions 28 to 507 of the family's 1533-position model. The record is from RNAcentral.